Molecule: long non-coding RNA, 1258 nt
Organism: Sinocyclocheilus rhinocerous
Lineage: Eukaryota; Metazoa; Chordata; Actinopteri; Cypriniformes; Cyprinidae
Exons: 5
Source: RefSeq, a predicted model, not a curated record
GGUCGGGGGGAGGGGCCGGCAGACAGGAUUUGGAGUUCAAGUGCAUGUGGAGAAAAUGACCUGGAAGACAGCGAGACAGAGAGCGGAAUGGGAAAGCGCAGGCUGGAAUAUCCUCUUUUUUCCAGGCACUGAUUUUUACCCUGGAAUGUAGAAGGUGAGAUUGGGAAGAAAAAAAAACAGGCACUCUCUCAACUCUCAAAAGAGCCAAUGAAAGAAAAUCGAACGCCGGGAGACGAGAGCGCAGGACAAGAAAAUGUAUUCCGGCCCCCUCCUCUGAACUCUCGGCUACGGCUCACUCCUCCUUCUUCCCUCCCUCCCGUGAACCCCUUAGCCUCUCUUUUCUAUCUGUCGUUCCCUCUCUGUCAUUCUCUCCCCUCCCACUUCCUCAUGCGGUCGCUUGCGCACACAUGCGCCCUUACGAUCUCGCUCUCUUUUCCUCUCUCUCCGCCGGCUGCAGUGCUUCUCUUCUCAUCCUCGCAGCCUGGCAGCUCCAUCCGUGUUCCUCCCUCCUGGACGGAGAAACACGCGCAGCCUUUUUAAUGGUCCCCCCUACCCCUCUGCGUGCCUCCCUAAAAAAACCAGGCCCCUUCAGCAGCUCCUUUUCCUACUUGUCUCGGUGCCUGAUCACCAUCCGCUCUCCUUUGCACUUCACUUACAUUCAUAAUUUUUUCUCUUUUUUUUUUUGCGUUGAAUCAUUUUCAAGCUCUAUCCCACAAAUUCUCACAUUCAUAAUGUGAAAGCAGUUCAGAGUGCUGAAUGAACAGUAGGAAAUGGGAUGGGUAGGAGGAAAAACGUGGUUUGGGAGGAAACGCUAAGAGGAGAGAAGUGACUGGGAUAGCGGAGAGGAGGAAGGACCCGGAGCAACGAGAGAAAGAGCCAAACGUGGGAUCAACGAAACCGCGGGAAAAGAAGGAGGAACGACCAGACUGAUCACAGUUCUUAUUCAGCUGGAAGAAAUGGCAGUUACAUAAAGAAUGCUGUGGAACUACAGUUUGGAAUCAUCCAUGUUAUUCCUUCCCCAAGACUGGAAUGAUGGAAAGAAUUUCAGCAUGUACGAAUGAAUAUCAUGAGUUUGGAACACCAUGUGGGUCGCAACCUCAGGAGAUUUAGAGAUGUCACGCAAUUUGGAGAAGAAACCGUCAUUGUGAGAGUGAUGCAUUUACUUUUUUUUGGCAAAUCUGACAAAGGUAAGAAGGAAGGUAAAGAAGUGUCAUCAUCCAAGCUUAGUAUGCGGUAUAUAUAAAAUAUUCAGUGUGUG